RNAcentral lists this long non-coding RNA (970 nucleotides) under Sarcophilus harrisii (Tasmanian devil). RNAcentral's name for it is "lncRNA (ENSSHAG00000030426.1)". The record is from RNAcentral. Lineage: Eukaryota; Metazoa; Chordata; Mammalia; Dasyuromorphia; Dasyuridae.
AGCAGGGCAGGGUGGGGGGAUGGUAAUAUUUUUCCUGCUUUCAUCUGGAAGCAGGAAUCAGCACAGCCCAGGAAAUGAGGCUCUCAGCUGAACACACACACUCUGAACUCCCCACCUAUGGUGUGAUGCUGAAUUAGUCAUGAGAUCUCGGCAACAGGAAGGCUGGCUUGUCCGUGUACAGACAGAGGAUGUAUACUGAGUCAAGGACCAGAGCUUUGCUCAUGAUCUCUCUCAUAUCUCCAUCUCUAAAUCUGAUCCUGUUGAACUUCAGUCCAACAUCACCAAUUGUGGGAUGAACAUCUCAAUGACUUCAAUCAACCACAGGGGAAGACAGUUGGGUUCCAUUUUGCCUUCCGAGAACCUGCUGGCAGGCACUAUAGAAUACAUGCUGGUCAAACGGAGCCCAGGCCACCAGCCUAGAUGGUGAGAAGUCUCCUAAUCUGGUGAGAAAAAUCGUAUUCACCAACAGCAAUAAAUAAGAGCCUUUUGCCUGGUAGGACUCCAUCUGUACUACUCUGCUCUCUUCUGGGUACCACAUUUUAUCAAGGGGUAUUUUUUUUUAAAUCUGGAAUGUAUCUUUAGGAUAGAAACCAGAGGGUCCUCGUGAUGAAAGGGAAGGGGGAAAGAUGGGGAAGAGAAAGAUGGGGAGGGAGGCAGAGAAGGAACAGGAGGGGGGAAAGGGAAGAAAUAAAGUGAAGUAAGGGAGAGAAAUGCAGAUGAACGGGGAGAGAGUGAGAGAUAGGAGAGAUCUUCAAAUAUAAGCUUGUCAAUCAUAAAAUAAGCAUUUGUUAAGCAUUUCUUAUUUAUAUCAACUAGCCCGCCCUGGAUUUAGAGAAAUAAAGUCAAAAACAACAACAACAACAACAACAAGCACUACUCAUAAGAAGCUUAUGUUCUAAGAAGCAUUUGUUAAUCACUUACUUAUUGUAUGCUUCAGGAUAUAAAUACAAUAAUUGAAAACAAUCUCAAG